CAGCCGCCGCGGGAAUACGGAGGGUGCAAGCGUUAAUCGGAAUUACUGGGCGUAAAGCGCACGCAGGCGGUUUGUUAAGUCAGAUGUGAAAUCCCCGAGCUUAACUUGGGAACUGCAUUUGAAACUGGCAAGCUAGAGUCUUGUAGAGGGGGGUAGAAUUCCAGGUGUAGCGGUGAAAUGCGUAGAGAUCUGGAGGAAUACCGGUGGCGAAGGCGGCCCCCUGGACAAAGACUGACGCUCAGGUGCGAAAGCGUGGGGAGCAAACAGGUUUAGAUACCCCAGUAGUCCCUGUCUCUUAUAC
Molecule: ribosomal RNA, 301 nt
Filed under: uncultured bacterium
Lineage: Bacteria
Description: partial 16S ribosomal RNA
Rfam family: Bacterial small subunit ribosomal RNA
Source: RNAcentral